Molecule: long non-coding RNA, 507 nt
Organism: Anopheles aquasalis
Lineage: Eukaryota; Metazoa; Arthropoda; Insecta; Diptera; Culicidae
Source: RefSeq, a predicted model, not a curated record
CUACCGGAGCCUUCCUGCAUUUGACAGCUCGGCAGCCUUUUCUUUUCACUCAAUAAUCUGAUCCGGGAAGACGUGCUUUUCGUCGCCCCGUUAAUUUGGUGAAAUGAGAGCUAAGUGGCGUAAGAAGCGUAUGCGGAGGCUGAAGCGUAAGCGCAGGAAGAUGCGUGCGAGAUCCAAGUAAACGCCCCCAGCUGAAACAACCGUUUCAUCGCUGUGCAACGGGUCUCAUAAACGUCCGGAGUAAAAAUGUGUCGGAACCGCCCCGGGGGGUUGCGGACAGCAUUUCCCGCAGAACGGAAAAUCGGAGGAACGCGCGAGCCAGCACAAUCCAUUCCCCGGGAGCAGCCUGUGUACGUGACGGAAGCCGUGUUCGGUGGUUAGCAAAAGAUGUAACAUCCAGAAACGAAACCCCCGAAUAAACGCCACGCCACACAGCUGUGCGUGAGGAAGUGAACGAAGCGCCUUCCGGGCGCUACGGCACAUCCGGAUGUACAACACUAAGCAAAA